This 978-nucleotide long non-coding RNA is filed under the name Homo sapiens (human). RNAcentral's name for it is "HSALNT0147015". The record is from RNAcentral. Lineage: Eukaryota; Metazoa; Chordata; Mammalia; Primates; Hominidae.
CUUACUUCCUUUUGUGGGCGACUUCCCUUUCUCUCUUUGUCUCUUUCCUUCCAGCCUCAUGCUUUGAAAACAAAGGAUUUGGAGGUCUUUUGUAUUUUGCAAAAGCUGCAAGGGCAUCCCUGUGUUGGACAACCUAUCUGGAGAGUACAGUAAGGAGAACCUGUGUGCCUGGAAGAAGGAGAGUGUGGUGAUUGUGAGGCUCUGCAUUGAACUCGGUGCUGCCCUGUCACAGAAAGCGGAACCCGCUAUAUUCAGUUGGUGCCCCCGAGAAAGCAUUUGGAUUAGCCAUAGCCAGAGGGUCAUCGCCCAUCUCAGCAUCAGGGCUUGAGUUCUGGCAAGUCUCAGCACCACAGGCGGGAGUGCUCUGGGGCCUUAAGUGAACUUGAGAGACAGUCUAGGCCACAAGAACUGCAAUUCCAAGGCAAGUCCUAGUGCUGAGCUGGGCUCAGAGCCAGUAGACGGAAGAGGAAGUGGGGGACCUACAACCUGCUGAGACACCAGCCUAGAUGGCUUAGGGAGUGCUUGUGCCACCCCUCCCCAGCCCCCAGCAUCGAUCCUGCUGCACAGAGAAAUCUGUGAACUUGGGAGAGGGAGAGUGCAGUGGGUGGGGGACUUUGCAUUGAACUCAGUGCUGUCCUGUUACAGUGGAGACCUGUCAGGAUUCAUCACCUGCUAACUAAAGACUCCCUGGGUCCUGAAUAACCAACAAUGAUACCCAGGUAAUAUGCCAUGGGCUUUGGGCUCUUAGAUACGUUGGCUUCAGGUGUGACCCAGCACAUUCCCAGCUGUGGUGGCUGUGGUGAAAGACUCCUUCUGUUUGAGAAAAGCAGGGGGAAAAUUAAGGGAACUCUUGCAUGUUUGAUUUUUCAAAUGGAUUCCUGCCUGUGUGUGACCACUCUUUUCUCUCAAAAACUCAUCAUGGGAACACUGCAAUAAAACCAAAGAACCAGGACACCAAAGAUUGUUAUAUAUGGAUUU